RNAcentral lists this ribosomal RNA (253 nucleotides) under uncultured bacterium. RNAcentral's name for it is "partial 16S ribosomal RNA". It matches the Rfam family "Bacterial small subunit ribosomal RNA", at positions 524 to 776 of the family's 1533-position model. The record is from RNAcentral.
UACAGAGGUGGCAAGCGUUGUUCGGAAUUACUGGGCGUAAAGGGCGCGUAGGCGGCCCACUAAGUCAGACGUGAAAUCCCCCGGCUUAACCUGGGAACUGCGUCUGAUACUGGAGGGCUUGAGUAUGGGAGAGGGAUGUAGAAUUCCAGGUGUAGCGGUGAAAUGCGUAGAUAUCUGGAGGAAUACCGGUGGCGAAGGCGGCAUCCUGGACCAUUACUGACGCUGAGGCGCGAAAGCGUGGGUAGCAAACAGG